GCACCACAAGAACGCGUGGAGCAUGUGGCUUAAUUUGACUCAACACGGGAAAUCUUACCGGGUCCGGACAUACCGAGGAUUGACAGACUGUUAACUGCAACACGAGCUGCUAAGUUUUAAACUUAAUAGCUCUUUCAUGAUUAUAUGAUAGGUGGUGCAUGGCCGUUCUUAGUUUGUGGAGUGAUCUGUCUGCUUAACUGCGUUUCAAAAUUUAAACCUGAGCGACAAGGUGCUGCUAUCGAAACUGUCUUUGAGUGUGAACUAUAAGUCUUUUGACUUAUGACCAUCACUCUAGACGUUUAUGUUUUGGUGUUGGCUCUUGAUGCUCAUUUGAACGCAACGGACGUGAUUGCAACCCCUUGUUGAGAUUUAUCCGAUCUCUACGUUCACUGAACCACACUCUUUAGCGAGAGCAGUGGGGAUGUGGAUAAACUCGGGGGACUGCUGACUAUAAACUUUUCUCAAACCAGAGGAAGGUUGCGGCAAUAACAGGUCUGUGAUGCA
RNAcentral lists this ribosomal RNA (504 nucleotides) under Globigerinoides elongatus. RNAcentral's name for it is "SSU rRNA". It matches the Rfam family "Eukaryotic small subunit ribosomal RNA", at positions 1164 to 1471 of the family's 1831-position model. Lineage: Eukaryota; Foraminifera; Rotaliida; Globigerinidae. The record is from RNAcentral.